GACGAACGCUGGCGGCGUGCUUAACACAUGCAAGUCGAACGGAAAGACCCUGCUUUUGUGGGGUGCUCGAGUGGCGAACGGGUGAGUAACACGUGAGUAACCUGCCCUUGACUUUGGGAUAACUUCAGGAAACUGGGGCUAAUACCGGAUAGGAGCUCCUGCUGCAUGGUGGGGGUUGGAAAGUUUCGGCGGUUGGGGAUGGACUCGCGGCUUAUCAGCUUGUUGGUGGGGUAGUGGCUUACCAAGGCUUUGACGGGUAGCCGGCCUGAGAGGGUGACCGGCCACAUUGGGACUGAGAUACGGCCCAGACUCCUACGGGAGGCAGCAGUGGGGAAUAUUGCACAAUGGGCGGUAGCCUGAUGCAGCAACGCCGCGUGCGGGAUGACGGCCUUCGGGUUGUAAACCGCUUUCGCCUGUGACGAAGCGUGAGUGACGGUAAUGGGUAAAGAAGCACCGGCUAACUACGUG
RNAcentral lists this ribosomal RNA (468 nucleotides) under uncultured bacterium. Its description in RNAcentral is "partial 16S ribosomal RNA". It matches the Rfam family "Bacterial small subunit ribosomal RNA", at positions 28 to 507 of the family's 1533-position model. The record is from RNAcentral.